GACGAACGCUGGCGGCGUGCCUAAUACAUGCAAGUCGAGCGAACCGAUGGGAGCUUGCUCCCUGACGUGAGCGGCGGACGGGUGAGUAACACGUGGGCAACCUGCCCGUAAGACUGGGAUAACUUCGGGAAACCGGAGCUAAUACCGGAUGAUCCCUUUUCCCACCUGGGAAAAGGUUAAAAGGUGGCAUUAGCUACUACUUACGGAUGGGCCCGCGGCGCAUUAGCUAGUUGGUGAGGUAACAGCUCACCAAGGCCACGAUGCGUAGCCGACCUGAGAGGGUGAUCGGCCACACUGGGACUGAGACACGGCCCAGACUCCUACGGGAGGCAGCAGUAGGGAAUCUUCCGCAAUGGACGCAAGUCUGACGGAGCAACGCCGCGUGAGUGAUGAAGGUCUUCGGAUCGUAAAGUUCUGUUGUUAGUGAAGAACAAGUACCGUUCAAAUAGGUCGGUACCUUGACGGUAACUAACGAGAAAGCCACGGCUAACUAC
This 494-nucleotide ribosomal RNA is filed under the name uncultured Bacillota bacterium. Its description in RNAcentral is "bacterial SSU rRNA". It matches the Rfam family "Bacterial small subunit ribosomal RNA", at positions 28 to 504 of the family's 1533-position model. Lineage: Bacteria; Bacillati; Bacillota. The record is from RNAcentral.